RNAcentral lists this ribosomal RNA (474 nucleotides) under Scytalidium lignicola. Its description in RNAcentral is "eukaryotic LSU rRNA". The stretch from base 118 to 271 matches the Rfam family "5.8S ribosomal RNA". Lineage: Eukaryota; Fungi; Ascomycota; Leotiomycetes. The record is from RNAcentral.
GCUAUCUCUUACCCAUGUCUUUUGAGUACUUACGUUUCCUCGGUGGGUUCGCCCGCCGAUUGGACAAUUUAAACCCUUUGCAGUUGCAAUCAGCGUCUGAAAAAAAUUAAUAAUUACAACUUUCAACAACGGAUCUCUUGGUUCUGGCAUCGAUGAAGAACGCAGCGAAAUGCGAUAAGUAGUGUGAAUUGCAGAAUUCAGUGAAUCAUCGAAUCUUUGAACGCACAUUGCGCCCCUUGGUAUUCCAUGGGGCAUGCCUGUUCGAGCGUCAUUUGUACCUUCAAGCUCUGCUUGGUGUUGGGUGUUUGUCUCGCCUUUGCGUGUAGACUCGCCUCAAAACAAUUGGCAGCCGGCGUAUUGAUUUCGGAGCGCAGUACAUCUCGCGCUUUGCACUCAUAACGACGACGUCCAAAAGUACAUUUUUACACUCUUGACCUCGGAUCAGGUAGGGAUACCCGCUGAACUUAAGCAUAU